GUGGGGUUAGUUCAAUUGGCGAGAACCUCUGUUUUGCAUACAGAAAAUAACGGUUCAAUUCCGUUACCCUACA
Molecule: transfer RNA, 73 nt
Filed under: Microscilla marina ATCC 23134
Lineage: Bacteria; Pseudomonadati; Bacteroidota; Cytophagia; Cytophagales; Microscillaceae
Rfam family: tRNA
About the family: Transfer RNA (tRNA) molecules are approximately 80 nucleotides in length. Their secondary structure includes four short double-helical elements and three loops (D, anti-codon, and T loops).
Source: Rfam by way of RNAcentral